UACGUAGGGGGCUAGCGUUGUCCGGAAUCAUUGGGCGUAAAGAGCGUGUAGGCGGCCCGGUAAGUCCGCUGUGAAAGUCAAAGGCUCAACCUUUGAAUGUCAGCGGAUACUGCCGGGCUAGAGUCCGGAAGAGGCGAGUGGAACUCCUGGUGUAGCGGUGGAAUGCGCAGAUAUCAGGAAGAACACCAACGGCGAAGGCAGCCUGCUGGGCCGGUACUGACGCUGAGAAGCGAAAGCGUGGGGAGCGAACAGG
RNAcentral lists this ribosomal RNA (253 nucleotides) under uncultured bacterium. RNAcentral's name for it is "partial 16S ribosomal RNA". It matches the Rfam family "Bacterial small subunit ribosomal RNA", at positions 524 to 776 of the family's 1533-position model. The record is from RNAcentral.